This 784-nucleotide non-coding RNA is filed under the name Dyscolus oopteroides. The record is from RNAcentral. Lineage: Eukaryota; Metazoa; Arthropoda; Insecta; Coleoptera; Carabidae.
AUAAAGUUUAAUUCUAGCUUAAAGAUUUAUUUAAUUUUUUUUUUACAUGUAAAUUUUUGUAGGAUAUUAGUUAAAUUUUAAAAAUUUAAUUAAAAUGGUUUAUUCGCAGUAUUUAAUUUUAAUAAUUUAAGAAAUUAAGAAUUAGAAAUAAAUUUUAAUAUUAACAAAUUUUGUGCCAGCAGUUGCGGUUAUACAAAAGAUAUGAAUGAAUUUUAUUAGUAAAUAAUUAUAUGAAUUAUUGAUAAAUUAAAAUAGUAUUUAUUAGGUGAAAUUUUAAGUAUUAAAUUAAUUUAUAAAAAAGUUUUUAUUAUUAUGAAAUUUAUAUUUAAACUAGGAUUAGAUACCCUAUUAUUUUAAAUGUAAAAAGUUUUACUUAAGUAGUAUUAGUUAUGUUCUUGAAAUUUAAAGAUUUUGGCGGUAUUUUAGUCUAUUUAGAGGAACCUGUUCUGUAAUUGAUAAUCCACGAUUAACUUUACUUAUUUUAUAAAUUUGUAUACCGUCGUUAUUAGAAAAUUUUAGCAGAAAAUAAAUUUUUAAUAUUUUAAAUUAAAAAAUAUAUCAGAUCAAGGUGCAGUAUAUAUUUAAGAAGAAAUGGGUUACAAUAAAUUUAUUUAUAUGGAUUAAAGUAAGAAUAAACUUUAUGAAAGUGGAUUUAAUAGUAAUAAAAUUUAAUUAAAUUUUAUGAUUUUAGCUCUAAAAUAUGUACAUAUCGCCCGUCGCUCUUAUUAUAAGGUAAGAUAAGUCGUAACAUAGUAGAUGUACUGGAAAGUGUAUCUAGAAUGAA